AUUGAACGCUGGCGGCAGGCCUAACACAUGCAAGUCGAGCGGCAGCGGAAGGAAGCUUGCUUCCUUGCCGGCGAGCGGCGGACGGGUGAGUAAGGUAUGGGGAUCUGGCCGAAGGCGGGGGAUAACCACUGGAAACGGUGGCUAAUACCGCAUAAUCUCUAAGGAGCAAAGUGGGGGACCGUUCAGGCCUCCCACCGUCGGAUGAACCCAUAUGACAUUAGCUAGUAGGUGGGGUAAUGGCUCACCUAGGCGACGAUCUCUAGCUGGUCUGAGAGGAUGAUCAGCCACACUGGGACUGAGACACGGCCCAGACUCCUACGGGAGGCAGCAGUGGGGAAUAUUGCACAAUGGGCGCAAGCCUGAUGCAGCCAUGCCGCGUGUAUGAAGAAGGCCUUCGGGUUGUAAAGUACUUUCAGUCGUGAGGAAGGUGUUAAGGUUAAUAACCUUAGCAAUUGACGUUAGCGACAGAAGAAGCACCGGCUAACUCCGUGCCAGCAGCCGCCGUAA
This 507-nucleotide ribosomal RNA is filed under the name uncultured bacterium. RNAcentral describes it as "partial 16S ribosomal RNA". It matches the Rfam family "Bacterial small subunit ribosomal RNA", at positions 30 to 523 of the family's 1533-position model. The record is from RNAcentral.